GCCUGGGCAGCUCAGUCGGUUAAGCAUCUGACUUCAGCUCAGGUCAUGAUCUCAUGAUUUGUGGGUUCGAGCCCUGUUCUGGGCU
Molecule: transfer RNA, 85 nt
Organism: Felis catus (domestic cat)
Lineage: Eukaryota; Metazoa; Chordata; Mammalia; Carnivora; Felidae
Rfam family: tRNA
About the family: Transfer RNA (tRNA) molecules are approximately 80 nucleotides in length. Their secondary structure includes four short double-helical elements and three loops (D, anti-codon, and T loops).
Source: Rfam